UACGUAGGGUGCGAGCGUUAAUCGGAAUUACCGGGCGUAAAGCGUGCGCAGGCGGCUUUGCAAGACAGAUGUGAAAUCCCCGGGCUCAACCUGGGAACUGCAUUUGUGACUGCAAGGCUAGAGUACGGUAGAGGGGGAUGGAAUUCCGCGUGUAGCAGUGAAAUGCGUAGAUAUGCGGAGGAACACCGAUGGCGAAGGCAAUCCCCUGGACCUGUACUGACGCUCAUGCACGAAAGCGUGGGGAGCAAACAGG
This 253-nucleotide ribosomal RNA is filed under the name uncultured bacterium. RNAcentral describes it as "partial 16S ribosomal RNA". It matches the Rfam family "Bacterial small subunit ribosomal RNA", at positions 524 to 776 of the family's 1533-position model. The record is from RNAcentral.